GAUGAACGCUGGCGGCGUGCCUAAUACAUGCAAGUCGAGCGAACGGACGAGAAGCUUGCUUCUCUGAUGUUAGCGGCGGACGGGUGAGUAACACGUGGAUAACCUACCUAUAAGACUGGGAUAACUUCGGGAAACCGGAGCUAAUACCGGAUAAUAUUUUGAACCGCAUGGUUCAAAAGUGAAAGACGGCCUUGCUGUCACUUAUAGAUGGAUCCGCGCUGCAUUAGCUAGUUGGUAAGGUAACGGCUUACCAAGGCAACGAUGCAUAGCCGACCUGAGAGGGUGAUCGGCCACACUGGAACUGAGACACGGUCCAGACUCCUACGGGAGGCAGCAGUAGGGAAUCUUCCGCAAAGGGCGAAAGCCUGACGGAGCAACGCCGCGUGAGUGAUGAAGGUCUUCGGAUCGUAAAACUCUGUUAUUAGGGAAGAACAUAUGUGUAGGUAACUGUGCACAUCUUGACGGUACCUAAUCAGAAAGCCACGGCUAACUACGUG
Molecule: ribosomal RNA, 497 nt
Filed under: uncultured bacterium
Lineage: Bacteria
Description: partial 16S ribosomal RNA
Rfam family: Bacterial small subunit ribosomal RNA
Source: RNAcentral